AAAAUUCACAAUUUUUUAUUUUGUUCUUUUAUUUUUUUAUUGUUCCUUGUGGAAAAAUGAAAAAAAUUUGUUUGAUAAAUAUAUGGAAAAUUUCUGAUUUUUAGAUACUGACCUGAAACUAACGGAAUAAUUGGACCAAAUCUCUCCUGGAUCAGCCGGUGCACUUUUCAUCAACAUUGACGGAUUUUGUCAAGGCUACUGACCUGAAGCUAAUGGACGAAUUGGACCAACUCUUUACGAAAUCAGCGGUAAGUAUCCUCAAGUGCCUGAAAAUGCUACUGACCUGAAGCUAAUGGACGAAUUGGACCAAAUCUUUCCGAGAUCAGCGUUUUUCUGUUUUCGUUUAAGGGUACACUAUUGACAAAAAUUUACAAAUUUUGUCAAGGCUACUGUAAUGAAGCUAAUUGGACCAAAUUAUGCACGGAAUACACUGAAAUAGAAGCUAAAAAUAUUUUUAAAUUUAUAAUUUUCAAAUAUGUUACAAAGUUUUAUUUAAUAAACUUACAAUUACUGUAA
Long non-coding RNA from Lucilia cuprina (Australian sheep blowfly), 516 nucleotides. RefSeq lists it as uncharacterized. NCBI's taxonomy places the organism in Eukaryota, Metazoa, Arthropoda, Insecta, Diptera, Calliphoridae. The transcript has 4 exons. The record is from RefSeq and is a predicted model, not a curated record.